This 442-nucleotide ribosomal RNA is filed under the name Blastocystis sp. RNAcentral's name for it is "SSU rRNA". It matches the Rfam family "Eukaryotic small subunit ribosomal RNA", at positions 477 to 933 of the family's 1831-position model. Lineage: Eukaryota; Bigyra; Opalinata; Blastocystidae. The record is from RNAcentral.
ACAAUGCGGAACAAUGUUUUGCAAUUGGAUUGAGAACAACGUACAAACCUUAUCGAUAAACAAUUGGAGGGCAAGUCUGGUGCCAGCAGCCGCGGUAAUUCCAGCUCCAAUAGCGUAUAUUAACGUUGUUGCAGUUAAAAAGCUCGUAGUUGAAAUGAAGGGUAGUUGUGUAAUGAAUACAUUCGUGUAUUUUGUUAUUCAAGUACCCUCCUUCUAAAUUCGAUAUAUGAGUAUUAAUUUACUUGUAUAUGGUUUUAGACAUUUACUGUGAGAAAAUUAGAGUGUUCAAAGCAGGCAUUUGCUUGAAUAUAUUAGCAUGGAAUAAUCAUGUAUGAUUUUCAUGAUGUAUUUGAUUGGUUUGGUUGAUGAGAAUAAGAUUAAAAGGGACAGUUGGGGGUAUUCAUAUUCAAUAGUCAGAGGUGAAAUUCUCGGAUUUAUGGAA